Molecule: ribosomal RNA, 401 nt
Filed under: bacterium enrichment culture clone ALO1_GLFRUDD03GMFAN
Lineage: Bacteria
Description: bacterial SSU rRNA
Rfam family: Bacterial small subunit ribosomal RNA
Source: RNAcentral
GAGUUUGAUCGUGGCUCAGAUUGAACGCUGGCGGCAUGCCUUACACAUGCAAGUCGAACGGCAGCACGGGAGCUUGCUCCUGGUGGCGAGUGGCGAACGGGUGAGUAAUGCAUCGGAACGUAUCCUGGAGUGGGGGAUAACGUAGCGAAAGUUACGCUAAUACCGCAUAUUCUGUGAGCAGGAAAGCGGGGGACCUUCGGGCCUCGCGCUCUUGGAGCGGCCGAUGUCGGAUUAGCUAGUUGGUGAGGUAAAGGCUCACCAAGGCGACGAUCCGUAGCAGGUCUGAGAGGAUGAUCUGCACACUGGAAUUGAGACACGGUCCAGACUCCUACGGGAGGCAGCAGUGGGAAUUUUGGACAAUGGGGGCAACCCUGAUCCAGCCAUGCGCGUGAGUGAGAAGG